CCUACGGGUGGCAGCAGUGAGGAAUAUUGGUCAAUGGGCGAGAGCCUGAACCAGCCAAGUCGCGUGAAGGAUGAAGGAUCUAUGGUUUGUAAACUUCUUUUAUAUGGGAAUAAAGUGAGGAACGUGUUCCUGUUUGUAUGUACCAUAUGAAUAAGCAUCGGCUAACUCCGUGCCGGCAGCCGCGGUAAUACGGAGGAUGCGAGCGUUAUCCGGAUUUAUUGGGUUUAAAGGGUGCGUAGGUGGUUAAUUAAGUCAGCGGUGAAAGUUUGUGGCUCAACCAUAAAAUUGCCGUUGAUACUGGUUGACUUGAGUAUAUUUGCGGUAGGCGGAAUGCGUGGUGUAGCGGUGAAAUGCAUAGAUAUCACGAAGAACUCCGAUUGCGAAGGCAGUUCACUGGACUGCAACUGACACUGAGGCUCGAAAGUGUGGGUAUCAAACAGGAUUAGAUACCCUAGUAGUC
This 460-nucleotide ribosomal RNA is filed under the name uncultured bacterium. RNAcentral's name for it is "partial 16S ribosomal RNA". It matches the Rfam family "Bacterial small subunit ribosomal RNA", at positions 338 to 795 of the family's 1533-position model. The record is from RNAcentral.